UCUGUCAUUGGUGGCAUACAAGUAGUAGCACACUCUGCUACUACACACUCUUUCGAGUGAAUGGUCUAUAUCCUUGAAAUUUUAUUAUUUUAUCUAAUCAUAGUCAAGGGAUGCAGGUUGUUUGUAUAAAAAAAGAUUAAUAUAGCUCUAUUAAUAUUUUCAGAAUUGAACCAAAUAGAGAAACUGUUAGCUAUUUCUCUCAUCUCUCCGAUCGCACCAAUAAACAUUUGAACGUAUUUUAACCAGUGUGCUCAUAGACAAACCGGAGUCCAGCAAUAUUUUUGUAGGGAUCUCAUUUAUAUUUGCCGGCCUAAUGCAAUGUAACAAUUACACCACAUGGGGGAGCGUAGGUCAGAUAUGCCUGUAAUUUACUACAGGAACAGAAGUGAUGGGGAUGUUUAGCUAGAAAGGGAUUUUGCUGCGUCAUAUCGACCUAAUUGUGUUGGUUCAUCCGAGCUUCAGUGUAUUUCCAAGAUCAUUCACAGAGAAAAUAUCUGGACCAAAAUACAGCGGUAUUCUAUCAUGUAAAGUUUACACUUUGUUGCCUGCAAUACAUAAUGAUAUAAGAAGCAUGGCUAACCCGAACCGUAAUGUAACCUUUUUGGUUGACUUACGGUCAUCUACCAGGAAAGCGUCUCAUUUGCAAGCCAUAUGGAAAUCUUUGUGUAAAUGAGGUAGAGGGUGUAGUGGAAAGACUGAACACGUUUUUUCUUUCGCUAUUAGACGUAUGGUUAUCUAAUCUACCACUCAACUCUCAUAUUCUCCACUUUACUUUCUGAAGCGGUUAGUGAGCCAAUCCCAUGAACGGUCACUUCCACCAAUUCUGAAGACGCUAAUAGUUUGUACGUAGACGCAAGGCUGAAACACGACCGCCCACCCCCCCGGAUCCUGUGUCAAUAUUGGUUCAGAGAAAAUGCACCGGGCGACAGGUGUACGCUAGAGGAUCCUCUAUCUUUAAAGCCUAUCUUAAAAAAAAGAUAAAUGGAACGGCAGCUAUUUAUACCCCAGGUAUAAAAACACACCAUUGGCCGCGCAGGUUCAUUUCAUCUAAAGAUAAACGUGGACGGAAAGGCGAAGUGUCUCCUAACCUGUGGACAUCUUCUUCAUCGUCUUAUUUAACACUUACCAAAAAGCCACCACAGGUAAGUCUGGAUGGAGCGCAUCAAGGAUCCAAUAUAGACAGCGAUACAUUAUUUCGAAUGGGCUACAGCCUACUGCAACAAGCUUUCCUGGCGCCGCAGUACAGUGAUACAAGAAGAGUACAACAUGAUAGCCUAUUUGGAACUCUGAAACUUCCGUUUUUUUUCUGUGCUUGCCUCACGUUGAGCCUCACGUACAAUACCUGAAGAUGAAGUUUUGUUCGUUCGGCUCGCGUUAAGCAGGUACAGAUUUGCUUCAUAUCUGAAAACGGAAAUAAUGGAAAGUUCUAAAAACAAAAUAAACAAUAUAAAAAUCCUCAAUUAAGAUAAAGUCAGUUUAUAUUGUGUGCAUUAGCCUAUAUGUUAACGUACCUAUGAGGCAAUUCAUUUGUUGGAAGCUGUUGGAAAAAGAAUUCAUAGCAUAUGUUGCUAUUUGUGUAGUUACUUUACUUGAUUUUGUUAUAAUAUUCUAAUAAAACCCUGUUAUGUAAAAUCAAUUUCAAACAGUUGCACGAGUUUUCUAAAUUUAAGUGGGUAUUUCAGAAGUUAUUUAUAUAUUUCCUUCUUUCUUUUAUUAUAUUCCAUAACAGCGACCCAGACAUAGUGAGUCUAUCGUGUGGGGAUUAGUAUGAAAAAUAUAAGCAGGACAGACUUUUAUAUGAGAUAAAAAGGACAUUACACUCCUUUGCCUGGAACCCUCUCAUUCACAUGAGGAGUACACCUCAUUACAGCUGCCAUUUAGCGCACACGUGAUGUAAAAAAACAAUAUAGUGUGCUAAUGGUAACACUAGCACAGUGAUCUCAAGUAAUUUCAAUUUAAACUUUUUUUUAAAGUUCAUCAUUCUUUCUAGCCUUUUCUUCCAAGCUUGUGCAUCCAAUUUCAGCAAUGGUAUCACUUGAAAAUCAUGGAAGGUGUUCAGUACUGUAUGGCAUUUAAGCAUAUGCUUGUGUCAGGAGGAAAACAGCCAUUGUUCUCUUAAUUAAUACUCUGGUGCUAAGACAAAGGCUUUCCUUUAUUUGUAAAGGCAUACACUGAAUUUGCUUUCAUGUGCUAAAAUGGUGGACCUGCGUUGCUAUGAGAACAUAGAUCCUUAAAUAUGACAUGCUUGGUCAUGAACAAAGAUCAGCACCUGCACACAAUAGGGCAUUACUGUUGUAAAGCGACACAUUAAACACAGAUAACAAGGUGGGGUGUUUGAAAAGUAAUGUCUCCUACUCAGAGCAAGCCAUCUUUAGACUGUGCCGUUCCACGGUCCAUGGAUCCUUUAAAUUAAUCAAUAGAAAGCAGAAUAUAAUAUAUAAUUUGCGAAUUAAUGUUAUCUAUUUAUGCUAUUAUACAUUAAAUAUUGACUAUUAACUGUGAGCUUAUUAUCUUUUUGAAUCUUGCCACAGUGUUUGAAGGAUGCAAGCAGAUAAGAUAUGCUUGAUUAAUUAAUUAAUCACACUUUAGCGUUCAUGGACUGACAAUGACAUCUGCUGUCCUUGUCCAUUAGCUUUACAACUGUUCUGCUCUGUCAGGGCUAAAGGUGACCUUACUCACACUAUGAAUUGAAUAAAAGCCUACAGCAGCACAUGGCAGCUCCUUUCCCAUCAAAUAAAGCAGAUCACAUUUAACCCCCCCCCCCCCCCCUUUUUUGGAUUUUUUUAUUUUUGUGUCUAUGUGUAUUAAAAAUGCUUUGCUAUAAUCCUUUCAGGGCCCUAUUUCUUAUUGGUUUCAAAUGAUACAUUUUCAUAUGCAUAUUUAUUUCCCAAUGUAUCAGGGAAAAACCCUAACUCUGCAAAUGAACAAAACACUCCCAUGACAAACAUGUAUGAUGUCUCUCUUUUGUUUUUUAUUGUGUAACAACACACAUCAUUGUUUAGUCAAAAUGAGCUUUUUCAUGUCCUGUCCAACAAAAUUAGUUGAUAACACUUGGUCAUCGAACAAAUAGAAAUAAAUCAUUUAAUGUUGAAUGGGAAAGAGUGUGACUGGCCUUCUGUCGUGUGACUGCAUUAUUUAAAUAGGUGACAUCAGUUAGCCCACAUUUGCAUACACAAAAGACUAGUUUUUCCAGUAUGAAUCCACAGAUGCUGGGAAGUAGUAUUAAGAACUGAGUAUAUUAUUACAAGCGCAACUGUAAUUUUUCCAUUUGAAUUGUUUGAUUCACGUUUCCAUACAAUGCAUGGAAAAUGUAAUGGACAGGGUCUUUGUUUAAUGAUUUGAGUCCCACCUGUCUGUUUGACUAUGCCCCUAUAUAUUUGAUUUUCACACAGGAAUUAGAGAAAACAAAGAUACACAGCCUGUAUCCUGGUCACAUUUCUAACUGCCAACACAAUAUUCUCCCAUGCCUCAGAAACCAUUCUUCUUUAUUAUUCUUCCGAAAUGUAAACUGAAGGAUACUGACUUACAAUAUUAGUGGCCAAACAAGGAAAUGGUAGAUUAACUAAUAUUAAAGCAAAAAGUGUUGUGUUCAAACAAUGCAACUACUGAUCAACAGUUUUGUGCUCUUGGUAAAGAUGUUUUGUAAAAACAGAAGACCAUGUUCUAUUGCGCUGUAUCCUCUAUGACAUUUGAA
Molecule: long non-coding RNA, 3694 nt
Organism: Anguilla rostrata (American eel)
Lineage: Eukaryota; Metazoa; Chordata; Actinopteri; Anguilliformes; Anguillidae
Exons: 2
Source: RefSeq, a predicted model, not a curated record